UACGAAGGGUGCAAACGUUGCUCGGAAUUAUUGGGCGUAAAGCGCGUGUAGGCGGCAGCGCAAGUCGGAUGUGAAAUCCCAUGGCUCAACCAUGGAAGUGCACCCGAAACUGCGUCGCUAGAGUCCUGGAGAGGAAGGUGGAAUGCUUGGUGUAGAGGUGAAAUUCGUAGAUAUCAAGCGGAACACCGGUGGCGAAGGCGGCCUUCUGGACAGUGACUGACGCUGAGACGCGAAAGCGUGGGGAGCAAACAGG
RNAcentral lists this ribosomal RNA (253 nucleotides) under uncultured bacterium. Its description in RNAcentral is "partial 16S ribosomal RNA". It matches the Rfam family "Bacterial small subunit ribosomal RNA", at positions 524 to 776 of the family's 1533-position model. The record is from RNAcentral.